Gadus morhua (Atlantic cod) is the source of this 698-nucleotide long non-coding RNA. RefSeq lists it as uncharacterized. The transcript has 2 exons. The record is from RefSeq and is a predicted model, not a curated record. NCBI's taxonomy places the organism in Eukaryota, Metazoa, Chordata, Actinopteri, Gadiformes, Gadidae.
AUGUGUGGCGACUCAAAACAGACGCACCUAACUGAUUAUCAUUAGCCUAUUGGGUCUAUGAAAGGGAGUUCCCACUAACAACUUUAAAAAUAUAUUUAUUUCCUUCUUAAGUAACCAAAAAUCAACCAGUAACAUUAAAGAAUGAACGUUGGUCAUCAGCAUGCAUGUCCAGGUGAGGUCAAACUACCAACAGCUCUGCAGUGUGUGGAGUAUAUGGUGCAUGCGUGUCCAGGUGAGGUCAAACUACCAACAGCUCUGCUGUGUGUGGUGUAUAUGGUGCAUGCGUGUCCAGGUGAGUUCAAACUACCAACAGCUCUGACUGAAGGUAACCUGGAACAAAGGGUAGCGCAAACCAACGGGAGAGCAUAAGAAUGACAAACCAGCAGACUUUAAAUAAUUUAGCACCGGUGCACCAUAUCACCUACAAUCUACAACAGGCCUGUCAAACUCAAAUACCCAGUGGGCCGAAAUAAAAAACUGGGUCCAAGUCGAGGGCCGGACAUGUUCAAUAUUUAUUAUGAACUUAAGUUUUACCCAUAUUGAAUCUGAAAGUGGCCUAAAGCUUAGGCUUAUUAGCUAUUGCAAUAAGAUAUAUUCAUUUGUAGGCCUAAACAUGAACUCAGCCUUAGUUUUACACAUAUAAAUAGAUAUGUAAUCUGAAACAAGGAGUCUAACUCAGAUCAAAUUGAAAAAUAAAA